GUGUCAGCAGCCGCGGUAAUUCGGAGGAUCCGAGCGUUAUCCGGAUUUACUGGGUUUAAAGGGUGCGUAGGCGGCCCAACAAGUCAGCGGUGAAAUGUGGCGGCUCAACCGUUUCGCUGCCGCUGAUACUGCUGGGCUUGGAUUCGGUCGAGGCGGGUGGAAUUCGUGGUGUAGCGGUGAAAUGCAUAGAUAUCACGAGGAACGCCGAUAGCGAAGGCAGCUCGCCGGGCCGCGAUCGACGCUGAGGCACGAAAGCGUGGGGAUCAAACAGGAUUAGAUACCCUGGUAGUCCACGCCGUAAACGAUGGAUGCUAGCCGUCGGCAGGCUUGCCUGUCGGUGGCGCAGCUAACGCAUUAAGCAUCCCGCCUGGGGAGUACGGUCGCAAGAUUAAAACUCAAAGGAAUUGGCGGGG
RNAcentral lists this ribosomal RNA (413 nucleotides) under uncultured prokaryote. Its description in RNAcentral is "bacterial SSU rRNA". It matches the Rfam family "Bacterial small subunit ribosomal RNA", at positions 505 to 918 of the family's 1533-position model. The record is from RNAcentral.